AGUGAACGCUGGCGGUAGGCCUAACACAUGCAAGUCGAACGGCAGCACAGUAAGAGCUUGCUCUUACGGGUGGCGAGUGGCGGACGGGUGAGGAAUACAUCGGAAUCUACUUUUUCGUGGGGGAUAACGUAGGGAAACUUACGCUAAUACCGCAUACGACCUACGGGUGAAAGCAGGGGAUCUUCGGACCUUGCGCGAUUGAAUGAGCCGAUGUCGGAUUAGCUAGUUGGCGGGGUAAAGGCCCACCAAGGCGACGAUCCGUAGCUGGUCUGAGAGGAGGAUCAGCCACCCGGGAACUGAGACACGGUCCAGACUCCUACGGGAGGCAGCAGUGGGGAAUAUUGGACAAUGGGCGCAAGCCUGAUCCAGCCAUACCGCGUGGGUGAAGAAGGCCUUCGGGUUGUAAAGCCCUUUUGUUGGGAAAGAAAAGCAGCAGGUUAAUACCCCGCUGUUCUGACGGUACCCAAAGAAUAAGCACCGGCUAACUUCGUG
This 492-nucleotide ribosomal RNA is filed under the name uncultured bacterium. RNAcentral describes it as "partial 16S ribosomal RNA". It matches the Rfam family "Bacterial small subunit ribosomal RNA", at positions 29 to 507 of the family's 1533-position model. The record is from RNAcentral.